Molecule: long non-coding RNA, 752 nt
Organism: Juglans regia (Persian walnut)
Lineage: Eukaryota; Viridiplantae; Streptophyta; Magnoliopsida; Fagales; Juglandaceae
Exons: 3
Source: RefSeq, a predicted model, not a curated record
CAAAGUGAAACUCCAAUGCUGUCGGCCAGUUUUCGAGCUCCGUCCGUCACAGUCGACGUCAUUUUCUCCUCCACCGGCCACCGGCCACAUCGUCGAUUGCAUGACAUGGGUAAAGAUGAAGAAGGGAAAGGAGGUCUGCCAAUGUAACAUCCUUAGGAACAAACUUAAUUGAGAUGGUUCGAAAGACUGAUGCAAGUUGUUGCAACUUUCGACUGCUAUCUGAAAAAUGGAAGUGCAAUUAUUAUUGCUUUUUCUCUUGCUCUGAUUUUGCUUACUGCCUUUACCUAAAUGUAGCAAACCACUUUCAAGUUAAUAUAAAAAAUUGAUGCGUGGGAGAUUUGUUGGAAUUUUAGUGAAUUCUAGAAGCCAAGAUCACACCUCAAAUCAUUGUUAAAAAAAAAAAAAAAAAAAGUUUUGGCAACUAUGCAAUGUAUGAUUUAUGAGCUUUGUAGGUAUGCUAAAUAGAAAAAAACCGCUACACUUGUUCUUAGGUUGAAGGAGGACAAGAACUUGUAAACCAAGCAAAGAUGGAUGCCAUUUCCCAUAGCUAAUAAUUGGCUCUAAUUCUUAGUGCACAAACAUUAGGAGAUGCAAGCUUGCUCAGUUGAUGAUUUGGAGUCCUGUUGUUUAUAGUUUUGGAUUUCGAGUUUGCUCGAGUUGAUGUAUUAUGUAUUCGAUCUUGUUGAAUUGAUGAUUCGAGUUUUUAUGAUGUAAUCUCAGACUUGUUAUAGAUUUGGAUUUCGAGUUUUUAA